UACAGCGAGGCGACCAAGGACCGGCCAGCUACUACAGCGAGGCGACCAAGGACCGGCCAGCUACUACAGCGAGGCGACCAAGGACCGGCCAGCUACUACAGCGAGGCGACCAAGGACCGGCCAGCUACUACAGCGAGGCGACCAAGGACCGGCCAGCUACUACAGCGAGGUGACCAAGGACCGGCCAGCUACUACAGCGAGGUGACCAAGGACCGGCCAGCUACUACAGCGAGGCGACCAAGGACCGGCCAGCUACUACAGCGAGGCGACCAAGGACCGGCCAGCUACUACAGCGAGGCGACCAAGGACCGGCCAGCUACUACAGCGAGGCGACCAAGGACCGGCCAGCUGCUACAGCGAGGCGACCAAGGACCGGCCAGCUGCUACAGCGAGGCGACCAAGGACCGGCCAGCUGCUACAGCGAGGCGACCAAGACCGGCCAGCUGCUACAGCGAGGCGACCAAGGACCGGCCAGCUGCUACAGCGAGGCGACCAAGGACCG
Molecule: long non-coding RNA, 502 nt
Organism: Oncorhynchus tshawytscha (Chinook salmon)
Lineage: Eukaryota; Metazoa; Chordata; Actinopteri; Salmoniformes; Salmonidae
Source: Ensembl